RNAcentral lists this unclassified non-coding RNA (206 nucleotides) under Hevea brasiliensis (rubber tree). The record is from RNAcentral. Lineage: Eukaryota; Viridiplantae; Streptophyta; Magnoliopsida; Malpighiales; Euphorbiaceae.
GUAGGACACUAGGACCCAUUUUGUAUUUUGUAAUUUUUGUUAAACUUUGUAAUUAAACUUUUAUUUUAGUAUGUAUAUUUAAAACAUCUCUAAUGUAAUUUUGUAUUAAUGUGAUUAUCUAUAAAUUUGUGUUUAUAGAUAAAAUUUGAGUAUUUAUUCAAAAUCUGAGUAUGAUUUUGAUGUAAAAUGAAUGAAUGACAAAUAGA